CGCGGUAAUACCGACUCCAAGAGUGUGUAUGAGAGAUGCUGCAGUUAAAAAGUCCGUAGUCAUAGAAGGGCAAAGAGAGAUGCGAGGUCUCACAGUGCGAUGAUGGAGGAGCCGAUGGGGAACAUAGUAUACCAGGGCGAGAGAUGAAAUGCCAAGACCCCUGGUGGACUGAGCGAGGCGAAGGCGAUGUUCUUGUAGGCAUUCGGUGAUCAAGGACGAAGGCUGGAGUAUCGAAAGUGAUUAGAUACCGCAGUAGUUCCAGCAGUAAAAGAUGCCGACAUGCUCAUUGGACACAGUGGGCAGGGAGAAAUCUUAGAGUUCGGGCUCUGGGGAUAGUAUGCUCGCAAGGGUGAAAAUUAAAGAAAUUGACGGAGCUACACCACAAGGAGUGGAUUGUGCGGCUUAAUUUGACUCAACGCGAGGAAACUUACCAGGGCCAAGUAUUGUGUAGAAACGAGCAAUACAGGAGUGGUGCAUGGUCGUUGGAAAUUGAUGGGAUGACUUUGACCUUAAAUGGUUGAAUGAGUGAGAUCUUUUGGACAUGUUCCGCACGGAACAGGAAGGAAAAGGCUAUAACAGAUCCGAGAUGCCCUCAGAUGCCCUGGGCUGCACGCGCAAUACAAUAGCAGGUAGAGAGAGAGACAGGAAGGUGCUCAGAUGGACUAUGUGCUGUAAGGCACAUACGAAAGAGGAAUUCCUAGUAAGUGUGUAUCAACAAUGGAUAU
Molecule: ribosomal RNA, 725 nt
Filed under: Vittaforma corneae
Lineage: Eukaryota; Fungi; Microsporidia; Nosematidae
Description: SSU rRNA
Rfam family: Microsporidia small subunit ribosomal RNA
Source: RNAcentral